Long non-coding RNA from Trichechus manatus latirostris (Florida manatee), 655 nucleotides. RefSeq lists it as uncharacterized. The transcript is spliced from 3 exons. The record is from RefSeq and is a predicted model, not a curated record. NCBI's taxonomy places the organism in Eukaryota, Metazoa, Chordata, Mammalia, Sirenia, Trichechidae.
GUCUCAGUGUUCAUGAUGCAGGUGGUAUGAGGCUCUCACAUUGUUAAAAAUAAUGUAUAACAUUGAUGCUAUUUUUAAAUAUCACUACAGUACUUGUUCUUUGUUGAUUUAUUAAAUCAAGAUUUGAAUUUUGAAGGCCACCUUUUCUUUUUUACGCACCUUGGCUUAGUUUCUGUCUCUUACUAUAGCUUUGUCUGUUACCUGUUCUUGCUGAUGGCUACCACAUGUGUGCUAGAUUUUCUGUGGACCUGGAUGGGUGCAUGCAUUUGCAAUGCAGUUAAUUUAAAGUUUUUCAGUAACUCCUAGACCUGGUAAAGAUCAUGACCCGGCAGGUGCAAUGGAUACACCUGUGAAGAAAAGAAGACUCGAUACCAGCCCUCAGAAAGAGGAUAGUCUAGUGGAGAGUCAGCUAAAUUGUACAACUGCUAGAACACUGGUGUAGCAAUAUCAAAGAAUACUCAUCUGGGAGGUCGGGAAAGAUGAGUGAUGUAAAAUGCACUGUUUCGGUGGACAGACUCUAGAUUUAGGGGUUAGGAAACAAGUAUGACUCCUGGAUCUGACUCCCACCGGUUAUGAGUCCGUGAAGGGCAAGAAUGGAUUUAACUGAGACCAACCAAACCCAUUGCUGUCAAGUCGAUCCUAACUCAUAGCGACC